RNAcentral lists this unclassified non-coding RNA (240 nucleotides) under soil metagenome. Its description in RNAcentral is "partial contains 5.8S ribosomal RNA, internal transcribed spacer 2, and large subunit ribosomal RNA". The record is from RNAcentral.
AACAUCGCGCACCUGCGGGAACCUGCGGAGGGAUCAUUAUCGAAUAAACUAGGUAGAUGCUGUUGCUGUCCCUCUCGGGGGAAACUUGUGCACGCUUCUGCCUUUUUUGUUUAUCCACCUGUGCACACACUGUAGGUCUGGGGAAGUCUGGUAAGGGAGGUAACUCUCUGAACGGCUUCAUUCAUUCCCAGGUCCUAUGUAUUUUUACAUAUACACUAUAGAAAGUAACAGAACGAAUCA